GAUAUUCUAUUCUUUAGCUCAUUAAUGGGACUUCUAAGAGCCUUGAGGCUAGGCACAGGUUGCCAUGAUACUUGUGAGCUAUUAUUCUGCAGUGUUGUUGUGAUGGUAGGAUGUUUGCCCACGUGUCAGGGAAGUUAAGGAAUGAAAGGGAAGUUUACUUAGCGUGUAAUCAAGGGAUUCAGUAUUUUAUUUUCGGCAAGGGAAAAGGCAAUCAGAUUAAGAAUGGUCAGAUGUGGGCUAGUGAAAGUUAUAAGACUUGGCAGUUGCAAGCGUGGUGGAGAUUUCUUCUAUGAUGGGGUGUUGCGGUCCUAAUGGAACAUACUAAGUUUGUCGAUAUUAUAGUCUUCUACAAUUCGCCUUUAUGACAAGAUGUGAUGAAAUAGUAUUGGAGAUUCAACUGUUAGAUAUUGCUUGGUGCAGUGGGUUAAAAUCAAAUUAGAAUUUCAAAUGUUGACGGAUCGAUAAAGAUAGCCUUUGGAAAGCUUCUAAACUUAGCAGCUAUGGUGGAUUCAAGUGCCACGAAGAUAUAUUUCACUUAAGACAACAUUUGAGCAGCAAACUAUGAGGAAGGACAUGUGGGAAGUGUCAGGCGGUGUUUACAAUUUCCAGAAGGCCAAGUAUGAGAAGCAAGGUCGAGUGACCAAUUAAAAAGAUGAGUUCCGCCAAAGUGGGAGAGUGGCGGGUGUUGCAUAUGGGCUUGGUAGUAUGAUGACUACACGCCUUAUGGAGAGUAUGGAUCGAAUUGGGGAUUUUAGUGAUUUGUGAUUGAAUCCUGCGGGUAUGAUGUGAAGUAUGGGCUAUUAUGCGGUAGAAGAUUGAUCUGGGGGAAAGGAGUUGCUUGAAAUAGAGGAGGGUGCAGCAUAACCGUGAAUUGGAUGGGUGUUGCGGCAUAUUUAAUUGAUGGCCGCGAGGGGUGAAUGGACUUGUACAACUGGAAUGUGAGCUCUGACUCAGGAUGGGCUAUUGGUUCCAUAUUGAAUGUACACGUGCAGCGGCACGGGAAGAUGUCGGGAGGUGAUUUCCUCAAGUCGGUUAUUUCCCAUGAGCAGGUUAGCGGUUGCGUGGUUGGAGAAGCUUCUGCAAAGAAUUAUAUUUGUUGUUCAACAAGGAGAUCGGACGUGUGAAUGUGGAUGAUGAUUCAGAAUAUAGAAGAUGGGGAUUUGCAGGAAGAUUUCGAGAUAUUUUGAUAAUUUAUGUCGCGAGGUUAUGCCAAUAAGAGGUAAAAAGGUCGGCCGAACUCAGGAAUUGUGAAAUGAUACCUUCAAGCUUAGUGGGAGAGUCCCACCACUUAUGAUUGGGCUGUAUGGUUAAUUACUUGCGUGAUUUCUGGUCAUUUGCAUAUUGAUUGAUUAUUUCAAAUAUGAGAAAAGACCAUAAGUGGUAAUUCGAGCAAAGGAAUUGUAGGAGGCAUGCUAUGGUUGGACUUAUUGGCUCAUGUUCGGACUUGGAAAAAGAUUGAAGAUUUAUGCCUCGUAUAGAUGCAGGUAUCAGAAGAAGUGAUUCCGCCGGAUGCUUCGUCAAAAGGGUAUUCAUGUGUUGUGAGAUUGGUGGAGCUGAUUGCAUUCAGGACCAAGUCAGAGCGGGUGGCUCUCAAUAG
This 1597-nucleotide long non-coding RNA is filed under the name Nicotiana benthamiana. RNAcentral's name for it is "long non-coding RNA (NBEN_LNC032708)". Lineage: Eukaryota; Viridiplantae; Streptophyta; Magnoliopsida; Solanales; Solanaceae. The record is from RNAcentral.